GUCUCGGGGAGUGAAGGAGGAGGGAGGAAGCCAGAGAUGGGAUCAGACAGGUAACAGAACAAAGCAUCUGGCUGUGUAGGUCAAGGACUUCUCAUAUGUUUUGACCAAGGUGCACAUUACAAAGAUUAAUGAUUUUGUAUUCCUGGAGAAUCUAGAUGCUCACCUCCUACAAAGGCUGUAUAGGAAGUACGGCGGCAUCUGCUCAGGCCUCAGGAAAACUACCAUCAUGGCAGAAGGUGAAGGGGGAACCAGCACUUCACGCCAGGAGCAGCAGGAAGCGGGAGAGGUGCUACACACUUUGAAACAGCCAGAUCUCAUGAGAACUCACUAUCUCCAUAACAGCACCAAGGAGGAUGGUGUUAAACCAUGAGAAACCAGCUCCGUGAUCCAAUCACCUCCUACCAGGCUCCAUCUUCAACAAUGGGAAUUACAGUUCGACAUGAAAUUUGGGCAAAGACGCAGAUUCAAACCAUAGCACCCACAGAUGGGUGCUGCACAGCCAAGGCUUUCUGUUUGGAGCUGGCCAUUAAAUACCCAGUUGCUGUGCCCAUUCACUGGCAUGCCAAUUAAUACUUUCUAAUAUAAUUUAAUAAACCCUUCCCUUUGUGAGUGGCCGAAUGGCUACUACUACUCAGUUUUCAAGACUCAGUUUCACUAUGUAGAUAAAUUUGUGAAAGAAUUGAGAAAACUGUUAAGAUUAGUUGUCUCUGGGCAAGGAGAGUAGGGGUGACCAUGAGAGGGACUUUUCGCUAUAUAGCCUUCUAUGCUAUUUGAAUAUCUCACAAUAUUAGUGUAUUAUUUUUAUAAUUGGAUUUCCGAAAGUUAGAGAAAUGAGGGUGUCGUCUUUGUUUUUUGGUUUAAAAAUGACCUAAAAUGUCUUGUAAAGAAGGCACAAAAGCCAUGUGGGAAAUAAAAAGUAAAAAUACCUUAGGUGGUUUUUAAAAAUUAUUGUCUUAAACAUCACUGAGAGCUGUCAUCUCAUAUAAAAUGUACUCAUUAACACGCCAAAGGAUAAAAUAAAUAAGUAAAUAAGGAGUGUGUUGUAUGUCCUUUGUAUAUGCAAAGCAGUUCUCUCAUCCACCAUUAGUGUGCCAUCAGCCUUCCUCUUCAGUUCCUCCCUGACUGUGGGACGUGCCCAGGCUUCUGAACUGGGUACACCCAGUUGUCCUGUUAGUCUUCCUACCACAUGCACCCUGGUAUCCUACCACAGUACCGUAUACUGUACUCUUCGUUUCAAAUGUGAAUCAGGUGUAUUUGAUCAUUUGAUUUUCAUUAUAACCCUGGAGAAAUAAUGAAAGACAGGUAUUACCGCUUUGCUGAUGAGGAAAACCUCUGCAGUUUUUCAUGGAGCUAGGAUGAGAAUCCUGGUCUCCUAACCAUGAAGGACGUUUUCUCUACUUCUCCCAUGCUGCCUCAUCUCUCAGAUUUUUAGACCUGGACUCCCAAACCACCAUGCAUGCAUUCCGUUUUUUUAAAUGUGAUUAUUCUAGUGAUACUGUAAACAUAGCUUCCUAAUUCUCUUCUAAUGCUAUUUCACAGUACUCUACUCUUUUCCUGAUAACAUAAAAAAUUGA
Long non-coding RNA from Chlorocebus sabaeus (green monkey), 1574 nucleotides. RefSeq lists it as uncharacterized. NCBI's taxonomy places the organism in Eukaryota, Metazoa, Chordata, Mammalia, Primates, Cercopithecidae. The record is from RefSeq and is a predicted model, not a curated record.